GACGAACGCUGGCGGCGUGCUUAACACAUGCAAGUCGAACGGAAAGGCCCUGCUUUUGUGGGGUGCUCGAGUGGCGAACGGGUGAGUAACACGUGAGUAACCUGCCCUUGACUUUGGGAUAACUUCAGGAAACUGGGGCUAAUACCGGAUAGGAGCUCCUGCUGCAUGGUGGGGGUUGGAAAGUUUCGGCGGUUGGGGAUGGACUCGCGGCUUAUCAGCUUGUUGGUGGGGUAGUGGCUUACCAAGGCUUUGACGGGUAGCCGGCCUGAGAGGGUGACCGGCCAGAGUGGGACGGGGAGAAGGCGCGGACUCAUGCGGGGGGAAGCAGGGGGGAAGAGUGCAGAAGGGGGGAAGGCUGGAGGCAGCGAGGCCGUGUGGGGGAGGAUGGGCGUCGGGUUGUAAAAAACUUUCAGCAGAGAAGAAGCGGCAGGGAAGGGAGGUGAAGAAGAAGCAACGGACAACUACGUG
This 468-nucleotide ribosomal RNA is filed under the name uncultured bacterium. RNAcentral describes it as "partial 16S ribosomal RNA". It matches the Rfam family "Bacterial small subunit ribosomal RNA", at positions 28 to 507 of the family's 1533-position model. The record is from RNAcentral.